AUGAAGGAAGUGGUAAGAAAGGAAAUACUAAAGCUUCUGGAGGCAGGUAUUAUUUAUCCCGUUGCUGAUAGUCAGUCGGUAAGUCCUGUCCAUUGUGUCCCAAAGAAGGGAGGUAUUACCGUCGUUCCUAAUGAUAAAGAUGAAUUGAUUCUGCAAAAAAUUAUUACAGGUUAUAGGAUGGUAAUUGAUUCCUGCAAAUUAAAUAAAGCUACUAAAAAAGAUCAUUACCCCUUACCUUUUAUCGAUCAAAUGCUAGAAAGAUUAUCCAAACAUACUAUUUUUUGCUUUCUAGAUGGUUAUUCCGGUUUCUCUCAAAUAUCUGUGUCAGCCAAUGAUCAAUCAAAGACUACUUUUACUUGCCCUUUUGGUACUUUUGCUUAUAGACGUAUGCCUUUUGGUUUAUGUAAUGCACCUGCUACCUUUCAAAGAUGCAUGAUGGCUUUAUUCUCUGACUUUUGUGAAAAGAUUUGUGAGGUUUUCAUGGACGAUUUCUCCGUCUAUGGAUCCUCUUUUGAUGAUUUCUUAAGCAAACUUGAUCAAGUUUUGCACAGAUAUGAAGAAACUAACCUUGUCGUGAAUUGGGAGAAGUGCCAUUUUAUGGUUAAUGAAGGUAUUGUCUUGGGGCAUAAGGUUUUUGAAAGAGGUAUUGAAGUUGGUAAAGCUAAAGUUGAUGCUAUUGAAAAGAUGCCUUGCCCCAAGGACAUCAAAGGUAUAAGAAGUUUCCUUGGUCACAACGGUUUUUAUAGGAGGUUCAUUAAGGACUUCUCAAAAAUUUCUCGGCCUCUGACUAAUUUAUUACAAAAAGAUAUACAAUUUGCUUUUGAUGAUGAUUGUGUAGAAGCAUUUGAAAUACUUAAGAAAACAUUAAUCUCUGCACCUAUUGUUCAACCACCUGAUUGGAAUUUACCUUUUGAAAUAAUGUGUGAUGCUAGUGAUUAUGUUGUAGGUGUUGUUCUAGGGCAAAGAGUUGAUAAGAAAUUAAAUGUUAUUCAAUAUGCUAGUAAAACUCUAGACAAUGCUCAGAGAAAUUAUGCUACUACUGAAAAGGAAUUCUUAGCAGUUGUAUUUGCUUGUGAUAAGUUCAGACCUUAUAUUGUUGAUUCUAAAGUAACUAUUCACACGGAUCAUGUUGGUAUUAAAUAUCUUAUGGAAAAGAAAGAUGCUAAGCCUAGACUUAUUAGAUGGGUUCUCCUGCUAUAA
RNAcentral lists this ribosomal RNA (1200 nucleotides) under Triticum aestivum (bread wheat). Its description in RNAcentral is "partial small subunit ribosomal RNA". The record is from RNAcentral. Lineage: Eukaryota; Viridiplantae; Streptophyta; Magnoliopsida; Poales; Poaceae.